UACAGAGGUCUCAAGCGUUGUUCGGAUUCAUUGGGCGUAAAGGGUGCGUAGGCGGCGCGGUAAGUCGGGUGUGAAAUCUUGGAGCUUAACUCCGAAACUGCAUUCGAUACUGCCGUGCUUGAGGACUGGAGAGGAGACUGGAAUUUACGGUGUAGCGGUGAAAUGCGUAGAUAUCAAGUGGAACACCAGUGGCGAAGGCGAGUCUCUGGACAUUUCCUGACGCUGAGGCACGAAAGCCAGGGGAGCAAACGGG
RNAcentral lists this ribosomal RNA (253 nucleotides) under uncultured prokaryote. RNAcentral describes it as "partial 16S ribosomal RNA". It matches the Rfam family "Bacterial small subunit ribosomal RNA", at positions 524 to 776 of the family's 1533-position model. The record is from RNAcentral.